AACUUUGCUCCGGACAAAUGAAACGAUGAAGCGUUGUUCGGAGC
RNAcentral lists this non-coding RNA (44 nucleotides) under uncultured Intestinimonas sp. RNAcentral's name for it is "uup RNA". It matches the Rfam family "uup RNA". The record is from RNAcentral. Lineage: Bacteria; Bacillati; Bacillota; Clostridia; Eubacteriales.